CCUACGGGGGGCUGCAGUGGGGAAUAUUGGACAAUGGGGGGAACCCUGAUCCAGCCAUGCCGCGUGUGUGAAGAAGGCCCUCGGGUUGUAAAGCACUUUCAGUGAGGAAGAACGCCUGGUGGUUAAUACCCAUCAGGAAAGACAUCACUCACAGAAGAAGCACCGGCUAACUCCGUGCCAGCAGCCGCGGUAAUACGGAGGGUGCGAGCGUUAAUCGGAAUUACUGGGCGUAAAGCGCGCGUAGGUGGCUUGAUAAGCCGGUUGUCAAAGCCCCGGGCUCAACCUGGGAACGGCAUCCGGAACUGUCAAGCUAGAGUGAAGGAGAGGAAGGUAUAAUUCCCGGUGUAGCGGUGAAAUGCGUAGAGAUCGGGAGGAAUACCAGUGGCGAAGGCGGCCUUCUGGACUGACACUGACACUGAGGUGCGAAAGCGUGGGUAGCAAACAGGAUUAGAUACCCUUGUAGUC
RNAcentral lists this ribosomal RNA (465 nucleotides) under Vreelandella stevensii. Its description in RNAcentral is "partial 16S ribosomal RNA". It matches the Rfam family "Bacterial small subunit ribosomal RNA", at positions 338 to 795 of the family's 1533-position model. The record is from RNAcentral. Lineage: Bacteria; Pseudomonadati; Pseudomonadota; Gammaproteobacteria; Oceanospirillales; Halomonadaceae.